Molecule: long non-coding RNA, 718 nt
Organism: Vespula pensylvanica (western yellowjacket)
Lineage: Eukaryota; Metazoa; Arthropoda; Insecta; Hymenoptera; Vespidae
Exons: 3
Source: RefSeq, a predicted model, not a curated record
AAAAGAAAAAAGAAGAAAGAAAAAAGAUAUAAGACAAAAGAGAAAGAAGAAGCUACAAAAAAUGAAAAGGAAAUGAUCGAAAAAAAGAGAGAAUAAAAAUCGUUCGUUUCUCUAAACGUUUCCUUUCGAAUUUCCUUUCAAAAUCAAAUCGAAGGAUACGUUCUUUUCAAAAUAAAUCUCUAUUUACGCGUGUAAUGUCGAAUGAGAAUUAAUCGUGACACGUAUGUUCAUGAACGUGAAAUAAAAUUUUAAGAAGAGGAUACCUUUUGGUAAAACAGUGAACACACUUUUCACGAGUUUCACGCAAUGACAUCGUCUUUGGAUCGGACGUCAUACGUGAAUUUAAAAUGCUUACGUGUUAGAAAUACACGGAUCGAAAAUGUUUUUGGAACCAGAGAAAUUUAUUAUUAAGGAAAACUCAUGCUGGAACAUGUAGCGAUUGGAACUCUAACGAAAUGCACUAUCGUCGAUUGUUUGAAAAAGUGGAAAAAUUUUAUUAGAAUAACAUCCGUGCAUCGAAAGAUUGAGAAUCGCUAGGACUUACAAAAUAACACUUUUUUUCUGGAUUUAAAAUUGUAUCUAUCAUCGUGCCAUGCGUAUACGCAGAACUCAGAACAUGGAACAUGGAACACGGAACACAAAACACGGAACAUGGAACAUGCAACACGGAACACCGAAUACAAAACACGGAACGUGGAACACGAAACAUAGAACACGA